Molecule: long non-coding RNA, 306 nt
Filed under: Jatropha curcas
Lineage: Eukaryota; Viridiplantae; Streptophyta; Magnoliopsida; Malpighiales; Euphorbiaceae
Description: long non-coding RNA (JCUR_LNC002689)
Source: RNAcentral
UUGGAGGUGGUAUUGGUGGUGGUCUCGGUGGUGGUAUUGGAGGUGGGCUGCCUGAUCUCGGUGGCACAGGCGGUGGGAUUGGUGGAUUAGGUGGUUUGGGAGGAGAUACAGGGAGCGGUGGAGGUCUUGGUGGUGCUAUUGGUGGUGGUGGGAUUGGCGGUGGUCAAGGUGGUUGUGCUGAUGGUGGUGCUGGCUCUAUCCUUAACCCUUGAUUCCAUUUCAUGGGAUUUUUUAUGUUUAGUGUUUCUGUUGCAUGCAGAUGCAGUUAGUACAUGUGUUUAGUUACUUUUCUGUUUUAUUCACUGU